This 442-nucleotide ribosomal RNA is filed under the name Euhadra peliomphala. Its description in RNAcentral is "partial 16S ribosomal RNA". The record is from RNAcentral. Lineage: Eukaryota; Metazoa; Mollusca; Gastropoda; Stylommatophora; Camaenidae.
CGAAGUAGUUUGAGUUAAAUAUAAUUGUAAUGUUAGUUGUUUUAGGUUUGGUGUGGCAAAAUCAUAACCCAAAUUAUAUUUAGGGGUGAUAGGCUCUUCAAAAACUAGGAUAUCUUGAUUCCAAAUAAAUGUAUUUAGUACAAUUAGUACAUUUAUUGAGUGUUUAGGCUUAGUAAAAAUAUUAAUAUAUAUUGAUUGCUUUUUUUAGGUUAUAAUAAAUAAAAAUUGUAGUGUUAUAAUAUUCUACUCUUGAAGGUUAUAGUUAGUAUUUGGAUGGCUUAAAGCUCGUAUAUCUUUUAAUAAUGUUUAUAUUAGUAUACUUACCAGUUUUAUAUAAGGAACUCGGCAAAUAUUCUUCUUAACUGUUUACCAAAAAACAUAACUGUGUGUAUUAAUACAUAGCGGUUUCUGCUCAAUGAUUAUAUUAAAUAGCCGCAGUAUU